ACUCAAAUGAAUUGACGGGGGCCCGCACAAGCAGCGGAGCGUGUGGUUUAAUUCGAUGCGACGCGAAGAACCUUACCUAGUCUUGACAUGCGUGUGGUAGGAAUGGGAAACCGGACCGACCCUCGGGAGCACGCACAGGUGCUGCAUGGCUGUCGUCAGCUCGUGCCGUGAGGUGUUGGGUUAAGUCCCGCAACGAGCGCAACCCUUGUCGUUAGUUUCACGUGUCUAGCGAGACUGCCCGCGUAAGCGGGAGGAAGGUGGGGAUGACGUCAAGUCAGCAUGGCCCUUAUGGCUAGGGCUACACACACGCUACAAUGGCCGGUACAACAGGUCGCCACACCGCGAGGUGGAGCCAAUCCCUCAAAGCCGGUCUCAGUUCAGAUUGCAGUCUGCAACUCGACUGCAUGAAGGCGGAGUUGCUAGUAACCGCAGGUCAGCAUUACUGCGGUGAAUACGUUCCCGGGCCUUGUACACACCGCCCGU
Molecule: ribosomal RNA, 483 nt
Filed under: uncultured bacterium
Lineage: Bacteria
Description: partial 16S ribosomal RNA
Rfam family: Bacterial small subunit ribosomal RNA
Source: RNAcentral